Molecule: transfer RNA, 72 nt
Filed under: Pangasius djambal
Lineage: Eukaryota; Metazoa; Chordata; Actinopteri; Siluriformes; Pangasiidae
Description: tRNA-Glu
Rfam family: tRNA
About the family: Transfer RNA (tRNA) molecules are approximately 80 nucleotides in length.
Source: RNAcentral
UCCCUGGAGGACUAGUGGUUAGGCCACAGUGCUCUCACUGCUGUGGCCCGGGUUCAAUUCCCAGUCAGGGAA